RNAcentral lists this ribosomal RNA (459 nucleotides) under uncultured bacterium. RNAcentral describes it as "partial 16S ribosomal RNA". It matches the Rfam family "Bacterial small subunit ribosomal RNA", at positions 338 to 795 of the family's 1533-position model. The record is from RNAcentral.
CCUACGGGUGGCAGCAGUGAGGAAUUUUGGUCAAUGGCCGAGAGGCUGAACCAGCCAAGUCGCGUGAGGGAAGAAUGUCCUAUGGAUUGUAAACCUCUUUUGUCAGGGAGCACAGUCACCCACGUGUGGGUGUUGGAGAGUACCUGAAGAAAAAGCAUCGGCUAACUCCGUGCCAGUAGCCGCGGUAAUACGGAGGAUGCGAGCGUUAUCCGGAUUUAUUGGUUUUAAAGGGUGCGCAGGCGGGUUGUUAAGUCAGCGGUAAAAUGGUGGAGCUAAACUCCAUCCAGCUGUUGAAACUGAUGAUCUUGAGUGGGAGAGAGGUAUGCGGAAUGCGUGGUGUAGCGAUGAAAUGCAUAGAUAUAACGAAGAACUCCGAUGGCGAAGGCAGCAUACUGGCGUCCGACUGACGCUGAAGCACGAAAGCGUGGGUAUCGAACAGGAUUAGAUACCCGAGUAGUC